This 253-nucleotide ribosomal RNA is filed under the name uncultured bacterium. Its description in RNAcentral is "partial 16S ribosomal RNA". It matches the Rfam family "Bacterial small subunit ribosomal RNA", at positions 524 to 776 of the family's 1533-position model. The record is from RNAcentral.
UACGGAGGGUGCGAGCGUUGUCCGGAAUCACUGGGCGUAAAGGGCGCGUAGGCGGCGCGGAUAGUCGGCGGUGAAAGCCCGGAGCUCAACUCCGGGUCGGCCGUGGAUACUCUCGGGCUUGAGCUUACUAGAGGCAGAUGGAAUUCCGGGUGUAGCGGUGGAAUGCGUAGAGAUCCGGAAGAACACCGGUGGCGAAGGCGGUCUGCUGGGGUAAUGCUGACACUGAUGCGCGACAGCGUGGGGAGCAAACAGG